GACGAACGCUGGCGGCGUGCUUAACACAUGCAAGUCGAACGAAGAGCGAUGGAAGCUUGCUUCUAUCACUCUUAGUGGCGAACGGGUGAGUAACGCGUAAUCAACCUGCCCUUCAGAGGGGGACAACAGUUGGAAACGACUGCUAAUACCGCAUACGAUCUAAUCUCGGCAUCGAGGAUAGAUGAAAGGUGGCCUCUACAUGUAAGCUAUCACUGAAGGAGGGGAUUGCGUCUGAUUAGCUAGUUGGAGGGGUAACGGCCCACCAAGGCGAUGAUCAGUAGCCGGUCUGAGAGGAUGAACGGCCACAGUGGGACGGAGACACGGCCCAGACUCCUACGGGAGGCAGCAGUGGGGAAUCUUCCGCAAUGGACGAAAGUCUGACGGAGCAACGCCGCGUGAGUGAUGACGGCCGUCGGGUUGUAAAGCUCGGUUAAUCGGGACGAAAGGCCUUCUUGCGAAUAGUGAGAAGGAUUGACGGUACCGGAAGAGAAAGCCACGGCUAACUACGUG
This 510-nucleotide ribosomal RNA is filed under the name uncultured bacterium. Its description in RNAcentral is "partial 16S ribosomal RNA". It matches the Rfam family "Bacterial small subunit ribosomal RNA", at positions 28 to 507 of the family's 1533-position model. The record is from RNAcentral.